This 347-nucleotide ribosomal RNA is filed under the name uncultured bacterium. RNAcentral's name for it is "bacterial SSU rRNA". It matches the Rfam family "Bacterial small subunit ribosomal RNA", at positions 29 to 403 of the family's 1533-position model. The record is from RNAcentral.
AACGAACGCUGGCGGCAGGCUUAACACAUGCAAGUCGAACGGGCGUAGCAAUACGUCAGUGGCGGACGGGUGAGUAACACGUGGGAAUAUGCCUUUCGGUUCGGAACAACUCGGGGAAACCCGUGCUAAUUCCGGAUACGCCCUUACGGGAAAGAUUAUCGCCGAAGAUUAGCCCGCGUUGGAUUAGCUAGUUGGUGAGGUAAAGGCUCACCAAGGCGACGAUCCAUAGCUGGUUUGAGGGAACGACCAGCCACACUGGGACUGAGACACGGCCCAGACUCCUACGGGAGGCAGCAGUGGGGAAUCUUGGACAAUGGGCGCAAGCCUGGAUCCAGCCAUGCCGCGUG